This 469-nucleotide ribosomal RNA is filed under the name Veillonella atypica. Its description in RNAcentral is "bacterial SSU rRNA". It matches the Rfam family "Bacterial small subunit ribosomal RNA", at positions 28 to 474 of the family's 1533-position model. The record is from RNAcentral. Lineage: Bacteria; Bacillati; Bacillota; Negativicutes; Veillonellales; Veillonellaceae.
GACGAACGCUGGCGGCGUGCUUAACACAUGCAAGUCGAACGAAGAGCGAUGGAAGCUUGCUUCUAUCAAUCUUAGUGGCGAACGGGUGAGUAACGCGUAAUCAACCUGCCCUUCAGAGGGGGACAACAGUUGGAAACGACUGCUAAUACCGCAUACGAUCCAAUCUCGGCAUCGAGACUGGAUGAAAGGUGGCCUCUAUUUAUAAGCUAUCACUGAAGGAGGGGAUUGCGUCUGAUUAGCUAGUUGGAGGGGUAACGGCCCACCAAGGCGAUGAUCAGUAGCCGGUCUGAGAGGAUGAACGGCCACAUUGGGACUGAGACACGGCCCAGACUCCUACGGGAGGCAGCAGUGGGGAAUCUUCCGCAAUGGACGAAAGUCUGACGGAGCAACGCCGCGUGAGUGAUGACGGCCUUCGGGUUGUAAAGCUCUGUUAAUCGGGACGAAUGGUUCUUGUGCAAAUAGUGCGAGG